Molecule: long non-coding RNA, 1795 nt
Organism: Numida meleagris (helmeted guineafowl)
Lineage: Eukaryota; Metazoa; Chordata; Aves; Galliformes; Numididae
Source: Ensembl
UUGCCUGAGAAGCCCCACUCUGCACCUUAUAUGCAGUUUUGGUACAUAAGGACCGCAGGUGCCCGUCAGGAAGGACACUAUUUUUGUUCUGUUAAGGUGAACUCCCCCCAGGUAUCCUGUAGCUGGACUCUGUGCCCUGUCUCCUUUGCUGUGUGCCUCAGGCUCUUCCCCAAGGCUCACAAACAAGAGAUACGCAACAUUCAUGUUGCCUGAGGUAAAUCCAUCGCCGCUGCCCCGGUCCCUGAGCACACGGGAGCGUGGAAGCACUCCCUUAUUCCCCUCAGUGCCCUCCUUCUGCCUGAGGGCGGGGGAGAUCCUUCAUUCCUUAAACUGAAACGGCCUAAGGGAUGGUAGAGUAUGAUUCUUCCCCUCCUUCCUCCGCUCCCUUGUCUCUGUCGGGGCUCCUUUUACCAGAGUCGCACGCCGCGGGUUGCUCUGCGCUUUCAGGCCCGAGCACCGCGUCCGGCCCGCUCCCCAGCGCCUCCUCCUGUCAGCGAAGAAAAUGGCGCCUGCCGCCGCUGCUCCCGCGCAACUCUCUUCGGGAACUCUCGCGAGAGCCCGAUCCCCCCAAAAAUCUCGCGAGUGCACCGCCCUCCCUCCCUCGUCUUCUCAUGAAAUCUCGCGAGAGCGUCGCCACCCCGCUCUCCAGGAACUCUCGCGUGAGCACCGCCCUCCCGCGUCUCCUCAGGAACUCUCGCGAGAACGGCACCUCCCGUUACUACAGGAAAUGGCGGCCGCCAAAGCGGUUCCCGCGCGCGUCUUCUCGGGAACUCUCGCGAGAGCCCAGCGUAAUGGCGGCGCCCUGUCAGUUUCCCGCCUCAGGAAGGCCCCUCUGUGGAACUUUUUUUUGGCGGCGGUGUCUCUGUCUGAAAAUCGCCCUUUUCCUGAAAAUCCCCCAUUCCCGGGCUCUGUUACCUCAGGGAGCGCAGAAGCUGAGCGAGGCCUCGAGGAACAACAUUUCAACAGAGGCGGGACAAAAGCUGUGAAACGGAGCAGGGAGCCCUUCCCUGGGGGCUCCUCAAUCUUCAGUUGUGGCUGCAGACGCCUGUUCCGUCCCUUCCCCACCCCGAUGCAUUACACUCCAUUCCCUCCCCUAUGCGCUGCACGGCGGCUUCCACCACCCCCAUCUCCCCCCAUGCACUGCGCCCCAUUCCCUCCCCGUGCAUUGCACCUCGGUUUUCCCCCCACAUGCGCUACACCGUUUUCCCUCGUCCAUUGCACCCCACGACCCUCUCCUCCGUCUGACACCCCCCGCUUUCCCCAUCCGUCACACCCCGCCCCCCCAUGCACUGCACCCCAAUUCCACUCCCCACGCGCUGCACCCCGGUGCUUCCCCCCUCAUUCCUCUCACCCUCCGCCCAGUCUCCUCCCAUGCGCUGCACCCCGCUUUCCCCACGCACUCGCAUCCCAGCUCCUCCCCGUGCACCGGACCCCGCUUUCCCCUCCGUUUGCACCGCGCUCCCCAGCGCGCGUUGCACCGCAUUUCCCGCCCCCAUUCCCCGCGCGCGGCCCCGCCCUUUCCCGCCUCGCCCCGCCCUCCCUUUCCCCGCCCCCCCGUGACGUCACGCCACGGGAUGGGCGUGACCGAUGUUUUCGUGUGGGCGUGGCUUAAUCCCACGGUGGGCGUGGCUCGAUCCCCGUGUGGGCGUGGCGCGGCGGCGCCGUGACGUCGCUGCAGCGCGGUGAGGUCAGUGCGGCGCCGCUGCCGGACCGCUGCCCCUCGGAGGCGCUCCCCCCGCCCCCCUCCUCCUCCUCCCCGACCGCUCCGCGACGCCUCCCGGGUCCCGGCGGCGGG